This 415-nucleotide long non-coding RNA is filed under the name Bos mutus (wild yak). RNAcentral's name for it is "lncRNA (ENSBMUG00000000977.1)". The record is from RNAcentral. Lineage: Eukaryota; Metazoa; Chordata; Mammalia; Artiodactyla; Bovidae.
UGUGGUUAGAAUUGAACCAAUUUAAUUGUGGGUUUUUUCUUUUUUGUGCCCCAGCAAGUCUUCCUCAGUGAAUUCCUGGGUUCUCCAGUGGUGAAACAGACAGAAGGAGAAAGCACUAGGACAUCACAGAAGGAUGUGGACACUGAGCCCCAGAAACAAGAUCCAGUAGAAAGAACCAGUUGUGAUGUUGAGUCUGCUAGACAGGUUCUUGGAGCAAGAGUGAAGAGAUUGGGUCCCAUCAUUGGUACACUUUAGGUAAGUCACCACUCUUCCCUCCAUUCUCUUCUAUACAACAGGAUAACAGUACCCAAUGCUUCCGACCACCCAGGAGUUUAGGUAUGAACCCAUGUGGGAAAGCAAUAUGUGAUUGUAGGUGGGAGGGAAGGACCAGUGUACUACAUUAACAGAUACACCC